CCAGACUCCUACGGGAGGCAGCAGUGGGGGAUAUUGCACAAUGGGGGGAACCCUGAUGCAGCGACGCCGCGUGGGUGAAGAAGGCUUUCGGGUUGUAAACUUCUUUUCUCAGGGACGAAGAAAGUGACGGUACCUGAGGAAUAAGCCCCGGCUAACUACGUGCCAGCAGCCGCGGUAAUACGUAGGGGGCAAGCGUUAUCCGGAAUUACUGGGUGUAAAGGGAGCGUAGACGGCGAUGCAAGCCAGAUGUGAAAGCCCGGGGCUCAACCCCGGGACUGCAUUUGGAACUGUGUGGCUGGAGUGUCGGAGAGGCAGGCGGAAUUCCUAGUGUAGCGGUGAAAUGCGUAGAUAUUAGGAGGAACACCAGUGGCGAAGGCGGCCUGCUGGACGAUGACUGACGUUGAGGCUCGAAAGCGUGGGGAGCAAACAGGAUUAGAUACCCUGGUA
This 447-nucleotide ribosomal RNA is filed under the name uncultured bacterium. Its description in RNAcentral is "partial 16S ribosomal RNA". It matches the Rfam family "Bacterial small subunit ribosomal RNA", at positions 331 to 792 of the family's 1533-position model. The record is from RNAcentral.